GACGAACGCUGGCGGCGUGCUUAACACAUGCAAGUCGAGCGGUAAGGCCCUUUCGGGGGUACACGAGCGGCGAACGGGUGAGUAACACGUGGGUGACCUGCCCUCAGCUCUGGGAUAAGCCUGGGAAACCGGGUCUAAUACCGGAUAUGACUCCAUGACGCAUGUUGUGGGGUGGAAAGCCUUGUGCGGCUGAGGAUGGGCCCGCGGCCUAUCAGCUUGUUGGUGGGGUGAUGGCCUACCAAGGCGACGACGGGUAGCCGGCCUGAGAGGGCGACCGGCCACACUGGGACUGAGACACGGCCCAGACUCCUACGGGAGGCAGCAGGUGGGGAAUCUUGCGCAAUGGGCGAAAGCCUGACGCAGCGACGCCGCGUGAGGGAUGACGGCCUGG
RNAcentral lists this ribosomal RNA (391 nucleotides) under uncultured bacterium. RNAcentral's name for it is "bacterial SSU rRNA". It matches the Rfam family "Bacterial small subunit ribosomal RNA", at positions 28 to 419 of the family's 1533-position model. The record is from RNAcentral.